AGCGAACGCUGGCGGCGUGCUUAACACAUGCAAGUCGCGCGCGAAAGGAGGCUUUCGGGUCUUGAGUAGAGCGGCGCACGGGUGCGUAAGACGCGGGUGACCUAUCCACGAGGUGGGGAUAACCCUUCGAAAGAGGGGCUAAUACCGGAUGAGCCCACAGGCAGAGAUGCUAGGGGGCAAAGGGUGCGAUUUACUAAGCGCAUCUCUUCGUGGCGGGCCCAC
This 222-nucleotide ribosomal RNA is filed under the name uncultured bacterium. RNAcentral's name for it is "partial 16S ribosomal RNA". It matches the Rfam family "Bacterial small subunit ribosomal RNA", at positions 29 to 234 of the family's 1533-position model. The record is from RNAcentral.